CAGGGCCCGGGGAGGAGCCAGGACCCCGGGCGGGAGAAAAGAGACUGAGGGGCGUGCGGCACAAAGAGCUUUUUAUUUAAAUUUGUUUAGAGUUUGGCGAAUUUGCAUGAAAAAUGUGUGAGAAAAGCCAGCUCCGGUGACCUCAUCCGCACCUGCCAUUAACGUUCAAUUAGCGGUUGAAUAGAGGCGCCGACGCGACGUGCAGAGAAUCCGGCGGGCCCCGCGGAGCCACGGCUGCGGGCCGGGCCCAGGGUGGGGUGGGAGUGGGGGGGCGGGGGCCGACUCCUGCGAGCCGGAGACGCUCGCCUCGUCCGCACCCCAACUCUCUGAGGGGACGUAGGAACCACAGAGCCCUCGAGUCCAAGGCGGCAUGGGGCGCAGCAGGGCCCGGGGCACCUGGGGAUGCCAGGCUCCCUCCUGGCGCCGAGGAGGGCAGGCUUGCCCCCUCCCCAGGAUAGGAGGUGGAUGGAUGAGCCCCCGUCCUAGCUCAGAUGGGUUCCCUCGCCACCUUCCGGACAAAGUGUCAAGUACAAGUUCAAGUUCAGGGCCAGGCCCGGGGGGGGGGGGCGCCAAGCCUUCUCCCGCCGCCUUUGUUCUUGGAGAGAAUCACUCCUAAGUCUCCUCCGGGCGGGGCCCGGCCAACGCCCCCGCCCCGCCCCGUGGUGCCCAACUGGGGCCGCCUCCUCCCGCCCUCGCGGCGCCUGUCCCCUGGUCCCGGCGCCCCCGCUCAGGGCCACCGAAGGGUCUGGGUACUCGGGGAGGGGGGAGGCGCGAUCCGGGUCCGUGGGAGCCUCCCCAGCCCCGCAGUCCCAGCAGCAAACCGAGCGUUGUCGGACGGAUGCUCGCGCGGAGGGCCCCAACCCAGCCAGGUCUGAUGGUUACGGUGUGGACAUGCUGGAUUACAGCAGCGAUGAGGUACCAGGCUCAGACAUGUGACCCAUGUGGCCCAAGUUCACACAGCUGGAAAGCAGCAGAUAGGAAACUCCAGGUCCAUUUCCAGAGCGUCUCUGAGGAAGAACAAGACAGAGAAUUCCUGGUUCAGUCCCUGGAGAAAGUCAACAGGGCAGCGAGUUUCUCUCCCUGGUGCUGCUCUGGAAGGAGGACUCAGUGGUAGAGGUUUAAGGGUGGAGGAGAGGGUGAUGGUGAUGAGGGCAGAUCCGGAGGUGAGGAAAGAGGAUUUUAUUACAAGUGGAACUGGAAGCCAUUCCUGGAAUGUAGACAUUUUGCCCCUGCCACCCAAUCUGCUUCCUAGACUGAGUCGGGGAAUGGUGUGGAUAGAAAUGGCAGUGGGGGACCAGCAAGCCUGUCUUCAGAGCAGAAGGAAGGAAACAAGGAAGGAAUGAGGGAGGGAGGAAGGAAGGAGGUUCAAGGCCUUCAAUUCUGAGCACUUAAAAACGUGUGUAUUUUUUUCUUAUUUCCAUAGUAAUAUAUACCUAUUGAGAAAAACUAGAAAUUUCAGAAAAGCACACGCACAAAAUAUGCCCUGCAGUCCUGCCCCCAGACUUAACGACUAUUAAUGUUUUGGGUGCGAUAAGAAGCUAUACUGAGGCUACAGGGAGCUGAACUGUAGGAAGGGAGAGAGGAAUGUCUAUUUUUUUGUUUAUACCUUUUUCUACUGUUUGAAUUUUUCUCAGGAGAAUGUCAAAUAAAACCGAGUUAAAAUAGCA
RNAcentral lists this long non-coding RNA (1667 nucleotides) under Sus scrofa (pig). RNAcentral describes it as "lncRNA (ENSSSCG00050029486.1)". The record is from RNAcentral. Lineage: Eukaryota; Metazoa; Chordata; Mammalia; Artiodactyla; Suidae.